UUGAUGGUGGGAUGGAAAUUGUUGAAAUCAUGGUGGAAGCCAGGCUCUACGAUAUAACCGCAUUUGCUCCAACCCCUUGUCCCUUCUUCAGCAGCUGGUACAGAGGGCAGGCCAUCUCUGCAUAACCUUCAAUGAAUUCUCUUGAGAAUCCUGUCAGGUCCAAGAAGGAACGUAGAGAAGAUAUGUUCUGUGAAGCAGGAAACUUAUUUAUGAGCUCAAUUCUUUGAGCGUCAGGUUUUCUUCCUUCAGCUCCUAACUCUAUGUCCAGGUAUGUUAUUUUUUGGCACACCAGGUGAGCCUUCGUUGGGUUGAUCAAAAACCCUAUAUCCUUGAUUCUCUCCAGCACUUUGUCAAGUGCCCUUAAAACUUUUCUUCUUCAUUGGUGGUGGCAAUCAGCAUAUCGACAUAACUUAGGACCCUCUCUCUGUCUUCCAAGGAGUCCAACAUUUUUUUCACAUGGCGAUGGCAAAUAGCUGGCACACUGUGGAAUCCUUGUGGGACAUGGCAGAAUGUAUAUUGCCAGAUCUUGAAGGGAGGAUCACACAGACGCAGGAAUGGAGACAGGAACAUGGGAUACCACAGAGGCAGGGAUCGAUGAGGACACCAGGAUAUACCGAGAUGGAUCUGCAGAUGGAACACAGGUAAGGCAACCUUUAGGUAAGCUGAUCAUCUCCUCCUACACUUGUGUCGUCCUGGGUGGAUGUAUGCGGACACUAACCUGAUAAGUGAUGGUAUGCCAGGUGAGUGGGAGCAGUGCAAUUGCAGAUGGAACAACGGGAACUGAUCUGCCACUCUGAUGGGCAGCAGCCGUGGGACAAGUGAACCAACCUUAAAUACUCUCCUGUUACCAGGCAGAUUAGGGUCAUGCGACCAUACCUUUUCCUGCCUUGCAGAGAAAAAGAUGCCAAAUCUGGCAACAAGAUAGGCACCAAAAAUGGAGCGACAACAACCACCCCUUGAAUCCAAGCUGGAUAAAUAGGGAAAAACAACAAAAACAGAAAAAUUCCCUACAAAACCACCUUUGUGGCUUUUUACUUCUGGAACUGAUGGAUGCGGACAUGAAAUAGAACAGCUUGGAGAAUACAAGCCAAUCUCUAUGGAGAAUCUUUCCACCAAAAUAAAAAAAGAAAAGUAGUUUUAAAUUGAGACAUUUUGAAAAAGUUCACCUCUGAAGAUUAUUCUAAGAUGUUUUCUUGCAAGAUCCUAUCUUGAGAACAGAAAGUGGGAGCUAAUUUAAAUAAUGAUUCCAACACAAAAACUAUGGUGUCCAAAAGCUAAGUUUGCACAAGUAGAAGUACCAACUCAAGUAUUAAAUGACUUAGAAAAUUCAAAGUUAAGAGGUAGCAAACACUAUACAGCAGCCAGCCAACAAAAAUGCAUGGAAAUUAAAAUCUUAAUAAUCCAUUAUACACUCGUAAGGAAACACCAAAAUAAAACUUCAACUGUAUUCCUGUAGUGAUUAAAACAUACGAUUCUGAGACAACUUUUCAUCCAUAACAGUUUCAAAAUCACUAGUGACCAUAAAACACUAGACUGUUUUACUCCUAGUUUACAGUUUUCCUGCAAAUUCUGGUCACCAUUAAGUUUACACAAAGAUUUACUUAAAUUUAUAAACAGAGGGUAUGCUCAUUCUGAGACUGAGUUUCUUCAGUCAGACCAAAAACUUGACAUGCCUCACCUUUCUGAAAUUAAAAAAUAAAAUAAAAAAAAAAUGCCCAAAAGAACCCAAAAACAAACAGACACCACAGAAGAGUUUUUCUGGUUUGAAUUUCAGGCAUUCUUCAUACAUUAUAAAGUAGCAAAAAAGGCAUAAAUUCUUUGCAGAUUACCUUCAUGUUACUAAUAUCGUCAGUUUUAGCUUCAUCUUAGUUAUUUUUUGUCUGGGAAUAAAACUAUUAUAUUUUGCAAGAAGUCAGAUGGUAAGCUAAGUAUGUGCGCUACCUUUUCAUAUUUUGAGAUAGGUUGACACUCAGGAAUAUCAUGGCCGUUCUCAAAAACAUGAAGUACUUGUAACAUGGCAUGUGGGUACAUACAAAAGUAGGACUAAGCACUUCAGAAUAAGGCUGAUCAGAUCCUCAGAUUAACUGUUCUAUUAUUUUCAUUAUUUUCCUAGUAAAAGGAGGUGUUUUUUUUCUUUUUGGCAUAGCUUUUCUCCUUGAAGUCCCUUCAUAGUACAUUGAAUCAACCCAAGUUAGAAAAUAACAUACCAAAAUGGAUCAACUUGCACCAUCUACUCCUGUAUUCUGCCUCUGCUACAGUCUGUACCUUUGAAAUUCUCUUCUCAAGGAGGAUUCAGCUACUAUUCUUAUCUGAAGUAUUUGUGCCUUAAGGAAGGGCUCGUAUUAUUCCCUCAUUUUAGCAGUAUUCAAUGUUUGUAAAUAAAUGUAAAAGGGAAAACAUCCAAAAUAAGCAUCUGAAUGCAUAAACUCCUUUAUUGAAAAUAUUGCGAUAGCAUUGCAUUACAUAUAUUCAAUAUUCAUAGUUUAAAGUGUAAAGGGUCACAGAAGUUUUAUGACCACCACUGCUGAAUACAGAACACAACGUUUAGAUAUGCUCUGACAAGUACAGAGUAAUAGAAUAAACUGUAGGUAAAUGAGAGAGAUAGGUAUGUAAAAUGACAAUUUUUUUUUGCUUGUAACUAGUAAUUGGUAUGCAACUGGCCAAAAUGGCAGACAUUAUUGGACAUUCCUAGCAUCUCUCAAAGCACUAUGCUAUUAGCAAUUUCUGAAAUAUCUUACAGCCAAAUCUAUCAGAACUUUUUUUUUACGGAUAGACCAAGUGGUAGAAAAUAGUGUUAAUAGCUUAUGUGCACUGUGUUACAGAUUUCUUAUUUUUACAGCAUCAGUUUUUAACUGCAUGGAACCUCUGUGUGGACUUUAAGACUGAUUGAUGCUUUUGGGGGAAAAAAAAAAAACUACCAGGCAUCUAAGUUGUUCCCUUUUAUUUCAGGGGGAUGGGAGAAGAGGGUGAAGAGUAGUAACUAAUUGGAGUUAUACUACUGUGGUGGAACAUUCCAAGUGUUUACAGUGCAUUUUUGAGUAUGGAGUGCAACACCAUUUCUAACCUGACUUCUUUUAAGUUGAUUAAUUGGAUUCAGUAUGACGUGUUACAUUUUGCUUUGAACUCUAGAGGCAGGACAGUAUUCCUUUCCUACCAGCAGAGAUUAUCAUUUAAAUAAUCUUUUUUUUAAACAAAAACACCCACAAAGCUAUGUUUUUUGACAAGGCAGAAUUGGUCACAUACCAUAAAGAAAAGUAUUUUCUUAUUUCCUUCAGUUACCUUAUGUAUCUAUUGGUGUUUUCACAGCACUAACUGGAUUAGAGUUCAGCUCUGCCUUUCAUAAAUGAAAUGUCACUCCAGAGAAAAAUGGUCAGUAUUUAAAUGCCACUUCAUUAAACCAAAAAAGAAAUAAAUUAGUUACUUGUAAAAGCAUAAAUUAGCAUGUUGGUUCAAGCCUUUUUCAGGAUGGAAACCAAAUAUGAAUGACCAAGAAAAACAGUUUUUACAUCAACAUAAUAUGGCCUAUAUGGGAAAGAACAUUCCUUCCAACUUUUCACAUUAUAUUUUUCUCCCUAUUAAAAAACAAGAUUUAAAAAAAAAUUAUUUGUAGGUAAGACUAAUGAAACUAGUUUUCUGUGCCACCACGCAAGUGACUAAAAAAAAACAAAAAAAACCCAAAAACCUGUGUUUCUUUUCAGACAUUUUCUUAGUCAUGAGUAUAAACAUGCUGGGGCAGAUCCUGAGCUGGGAUAAAAACUGUCAUAGCUCUACUGAAGUCAAUGAAGCUACGACAAGUUACGCUAACUAAGAAUGUGCCCUGCUGUCCCAUAUAUUGCCAGUAGAACACCCAAUUAAUAGGAAGAUGGCAGCGGAGUCAAUAAUGAAUGCUGACAGCACCCUCCUCUCUCCCACCAUCUGAAAGUAACCCAGAAUUAUGCACUCAGUUUCUGCCAAAAAACAAAACCCCUAAAUUAGGGCAGCAACAAAACAGAAACAAAGUUUCAUUUACAAAAUAAAAAAUAUAUAUAAAACUAACUUUAGAAAUCAAAUGGAUUUGUUGCCAACACAUGAAAAAUACCUCUAGUAUUUUUCUGUCAAAUUCUGAGGUUUUAAACAUUAAUAGAAAAAACAUACCUAAUACAUUUUAAACAAAUGUACUAUACAAUGAACAAUAAAUAAAAAGAUUUAAAAAAA
Long non-coding RNA from Dermochelys coriacea (leatherback sea turtle), 4194 nucleotides. RefSeq lists it as uncharacterized. The record is from RefSeq and is a predicted model, not a curated record. Lineage: Eukaryota; Metazoa; Chordata; Testudines; Dermochelyidae. The transcript has 2 exons.